RNAcentral lists this small RNA (310 nucleotides) under Histoplasma ohiense. Its description in RNAcentral is "hypothetical lncRNA". The record is from RNAcentral. Lineage: Eukaryota; Fungi; Ascomycota; Eurotiomycetes; Onygenales; Ajellomycetaceae.
CAACCGCGUUAUAUCUGCAUUAUCUGUGGGGUGGAAACCCACCAGGAUAGGGAGUCAUGGCUUACUGAAUACCGUGUCAUCCAUAUGACAGAUGAUGAAUCGUUGCAGCUGCUUCCUUUUUCAGCAGCAUCUCCAGCGCAUGGAAUCCUAUUAAUGUACUGUACCGGGAGCCUUUUUGAGGCUGGAGAGAGACACUUGAAUCGCGGAUAUCAGAUUGGCACUCACCGAUAAAAUCUUCGGCAGGGAAGAACUAUUCAAUCGGGGACCAAAAUUCUCUUUUAUUCUAUUCUAUCCUACUGUAUUCGCGGUG